AACGGAGAGUUUGAUCCUGGCUCAGGAUGAACGCUGGCGGCGUGCUUAACACAUGCAAGUCGAACGAACCUUCGGGUUAGUGGCGGACGGGUGAGUAACGCGUGAGAAUCUGCCCUCAGGAGGGGGAUAACGGUUGGAAACGACCGCUAAUACCCCAUAUGCCUACUGGUGAAACGAAUUUCGCCUGAGGAUGAGCUCGCGUCUGAUUAGCUAGUUGGUGAGGUAAUGGCUCACCAAGGCUUCGAUCAGUAGCUGGUCUGAGAGGAUGAUCAGCCACACUGGGACUGAGACACGGCCCAGACUCCUACGGGAGGCAGCAGUGGGGAAUUUUCCGCAAUGGGCGAAAGCCUGACGGAGCAACGCCGCGUGAGGGACGAAGGCCUCUGGGCUGUAAACCUCUUUUCUCAAGGAAGAAGAUAUGACGGUACUUGAGGAAUAAGCCACGGCUAAUUCCGUGCCAGCAGCCGCGGUAAUACGGGAGUGGCAAGCGUUAUCCGGAAUUAUUGGGCGUAAAGCGUCCGCAGGCGGCUUUUCAAGUCUGCUGUUAAAGCGUGGAGCUUAACUCCAUCAUGGCAGUGGAAACUGAAAGGCUUGAGUAUGGUAGGGGCAGAGGGAAUUCCCGGUGUAGCGGUGAAAUGCGUAGAUAUCGGGAAGAACACCAGUGGCGAAGGCGCUCUGCUGGGCCAUUACUGACGCUCAUGGACGAAAGCCAGGGGAGCGAAAGGGAUUAGAUACCCCUGUAGUCCUGGCCGUAAACGAUGAACACUAGGUGUCGGGGGAAUCGACCCCUUCGGUGUCGUAGCUAACGCGUUAAGUGUUCCGCCUGGGGAGUACGCACGCAAGUGUGAAACUCAAAGGAAUUGACGGGGGCCCGCACAAGCGGUGGAGUAUGUGGUUUAAUUCGAUGCAACGCGAAGAACCUUACCAGGGUUUGACAUCCUGCGAACCUCUUAGAAAUUUGAGGGUGCCUUCGGGAAUGCAGUGACAGGUGGUGCAUGGCUGUCGUCAGCUCGUGUCGUGAGAUGUUGGGUUAAGUCCCGCAACGAGCGCAACCCACGUUUUUAGUUGCCAGCAUUUAGUUGGGCACUCUAGAAAGACCGCCGGUGAUAAACCGGAGGAAGGUGUGGAUGACGUCAAGUCAUCAUGCCCCUUACACCCUGGGCUACACACGUACUACAAUGCUACGGACAAAGGGCAGCAAACUCGCGAGAGCUAGCAAAUCCCAUAAACCGUGGCUCAGUUCAGAUCGUAGGCUGCAACUCGCCUACGUGAAGUAGGAAUCGCUAGUAAUCGCAGGUCAGCAUACUGCGGUGAAUACGUUCCCGGGCCUUGUACACACCGCCCGUCACACCAUGGAAGUUGGCCAUGCCCGAAGUCGUUACUCCAACCCUUGUGGAGGAGGACGCCGAAGGUGGGGCUAAUGACUGGGGUGAAGUCGUAACAAGGUAGCCGUACCGGAAGGUGCGGCUGGAUCACCUCCUAA
Molecule: ribosomal RNA, 1483 nt
Filed under: Prochlorococcus marinus str. MU1414
Lineage: Bacteria; Bacillati; Cyanobacteriota; Cyanophyceae; Synechococcales; Prochlorococcaceae
Also listed under: 1 other name
Description: 16S ribosomal RNA
Rfam family: Bacterial small subunit ribosomal RNA
Source: RNAcentral